UACGUAGGGGGCAAGCGUUGUCCGGAAUCAUUGGGCGUAAAGAGCGCGUAGGCGGUCCUGUAAGUCCGCUGUGAAAGUCAAGGGCUCAACCCUUGGAUGCCGGUGGAUACUGCAGGGCUAGAGUCCGGAAGAGGCGAGUGGAAUUCCUGGUGUAGCGGUGAAAUGCGCAGAUAUCAGGAGGAACACCGAUGGCGAAGGCAGGUCUCUGGGCCAUAACUGACGCUGAGAAGCGAAAGCAUGGGGAGCGAACAGG
This 253-nucleotide ribosomal RNA is filed under the name uncultured bacterium. Its description in RNAcentral is "partial 16S ribosomal RNA". It matches the Rfam family "Bacterial small subunit ribosomal RNA", at positions 524 to 776 of the family's 1533-position model. The record is from RNAcentral.